UGCGCAGGCGGCGGAGUGUGUCAGGUGUGAAAGCCCGAGGCUUAACCUCGGAAUCGCGCCUGAAACUGCUCGGCUAGAGCAUUGGAGAGGGUAGCGGAAUUCACGGUGUAGCAGUGAAAUGCGUAGAUAUCGUGAGGAACACCAGAGGCGAAGGCGGCUACCUGGACAAUUGCUGACGCUCAGGCACGAAAGCGUGGGGAGCAAAAGGGAUUAGAUACCCCUGUAGUCCACGCCCUAAACGGUGCACACUAGGUCUUGGCGGAUUCGACCCCUCCAGGGCCCAAGCUAACGCGUUAAGUGUGCCGCCUGAGGACUACGGCCGCAAGGCUAAA
Molecule: ribosomal RNA, 332 nt
Filed under: uncultured bacterium
Lineage: Bacteria
Description: bacterial SSU rRNA
Rfam family: Bacterial small subunit ribosomal RNA
Source: RNAcentral